This 201-nucleotide unclassified non-coding RNA is filed under the name plant metagenome. RNAcentral's name for it is "partial contains small subunit ribosomal RNA, internal transcribed spacer 1, and 5.8S ribosomal RNA". The record is from RNAcentral.
UCUCCGUUGGUGAACCAGCGGAGGGAUCAUUAUCGAGUUUAUAACUCCCAAACCCUAUGUGAACUUACCACUUGUUGCUUCGGCGCGCGCUUCGGUGCCGCCGAGGACACUUAAACUCUUUGUUUUUAUAAGCAUUUCUGAGUGGCCGAAAGGCAAAAUACAAAUGAAUCAAGACUUUCAACAACGGAUCUCUUGGUUCUG